Salvelinus sp. IW2-2015 is the source of this 746-nucleotide non-coding RNA. NCBI's taxonomy places the organism in Eukaryota, Metazoa, Chordata, Actinopteri, Salmoniformes, Salmonidae. The record is from RefSeq and is a predicted model, not a curated record.
UGAGGGAGCAGAGAAUGUAUGUUUCUCUGAGAGGUUUUGACUCCUGUGAAACUUUUAAAACAUUUGAAACUUACCUUAUCACGAGCUUGAAAGUAACACUAAAUUGAAAGCCCAUUUACGCUAAAGAACAGGUGAUGGCUUUCAGUCUAAAAGAAACUUCAAGGGAAUGAGAGAUCUCAUUUUAUGGUUUGCCUUCUGACAGAGAAAAAUGCUAUUUUCUACACACUAUUGCACCAGCAACCUUCAAAGCCACAUCGUCAACAUGUGCUCCAGGAACAGGGAUAUUCUCAGACUUCUCCAGCCUCCAGACGGUCAAUGUGAGCGGGGUAGUCCGAUCAUACGACCCCAACAUUGGAACGGUCACCUAUAAUGCUGAGCUCAAGUACUUUUACUCCUGUGCUUACCCUCUGGAGUACCUCGUCAAGAACACCCUGGUGGACAUGUCAGCCUCCUCCAUUGCUGUGAAGAACAACAAUGGUAGCUUCAUCAGUGCUCUGAGCAAUGCCCUGUUAAGGAUGCAAACAAUACCACACCCCUGGUUAUCCCUUCUCUGGUUAUUGAGGACUAAUGUCUUCAUUCAGGUUUUAGCUGCUAACCUGACUUGCCAAUACCAUGUGCUUCUGGACUGAUGUUAUGUGUCCGUCUCCCCGCUGCUCUCCAUCUCAACAUUCUUUCAUCUCUUUGUAUCGUAAGUAAAAAAAACAACAAAAAAACAAUCUUCAAUCAAAUAUUGAAAAAGUGUUAGU